This 433-nucleotide ribosomal RNA is filed under the name uncultured bacterium. RNAcentral describes it as "partial 16S ribosomal RNA". It matches the Rfam family "Bacterial small subunit ribosomal RNA", at positions 29 to 507 of the family's 1533-position model. The record is from RNAcentral.
AACGAACGCUGGCGGCAGGCUUAACACAUGCAAGUCGAACGCACCUUUCGGGGUGAGUGGCAGACGGGUGAGUAACGCGUGGGAAUCUACCCUUCUCUACGGGAUAGCUCCGGGAAACUGGAAUUAAUACCGUAUACGUCCUGAGGGAGAAAGAUUUAUCGGGGAAGGAUGAGCCCGCGUUGGAUUAGCUAGUUGGUGGGGUAAAGGCCUACCAAGGCGACGAUCCAUAGGUUGUCUAAGAGGAUGAUCAGCCACAUUGGGACUGAGACACGGCCCAAACUCCUACUGGAGGCAGCCGUGGGGAGUAUUAGACAAUGGGCGCAAGCCUGAUCCAGCCAUGCCGCGUGAGUGAGGAAGGCGCUAGGGUUGUACAGCUCUUUCAGUGGGGACGAUAAUGACGGUACCCACAGAAGAAGCACCGGCUAACUUCGUG